GCCCCCAUCGUCUAGUGGCCCAGGACGCGGCCCUCUCAAGGCCGAAACCAGGAUUCGAAUUCCUGUGGGGGCA
Molecule: transfer RNA, 73 nt
Filed under: Anaerolineaceae bacterium
Lineage: Bacteria; Bacillati; Chloroflexota; Anaerolineae; Anaerolineales; Anaerolineaceae
Also listed under: 1 other name
Description: tRNA-Glu
Rfam family: tRNA
About the family: Transfer RNA (tRNA) molecules are approximately 80 nucleotides in length. Their secondary structure includes four short double-helical elements and three loops (D, anti-codon, and T loops). Further hydrogen bonds mediate the characteristic L-shaped molecular structure. tRNAs have two regions of fundamental functional importance: the anti-codon, which is responsible for specific mRNA codon recognition, and the 3' end, to which the tRNAs corresponding amino acid is attached (by aminoacyl-tRNA synthetases). tRNAs cope with the degeneracy of the genetic code in two manners: having more than one tRNA (with a specific anti-codon) for a particular amino acid; and 'wobble' base-pairing, i.e. permitting non-standard base-pairing at the 3rd anti-codon position.
Source: RNAcentral